Labeo rohita (rohu) is the source of this 866-nucleotide long non-coding RNA. RefSeq lists it as uncharacterized. NCBI's taxonomy places the organism in Eukaryota, Metazoa, Chordata, Actinopteri, Cypriniformes, Cyprinidae. The record is from RefSeq and is a predicted model, not a curated record. The transcript is spliced from 6 exons.
CUUGUUUGGUUGAAGACCUCGGCUGAUAUACGAUAGAACUGGAAAGAGAUUUUACAAACAACAGAGAUGUUGCACACCACAACAAUCAGUACCUGCUGGUUUAAUAUGCACUUAGGGAGAUACGAAUGGUGAUUCCAAAGGCGUAUACAUAUAUCAGGAAAAGCAGACAAGGCAGUUGGAGAAGGAAAAUAAGGUUACUCUUCAACACUUUGUGGUUCUCCAUGGCAUUUCUGUCCUGCUUGGGCACAACAGUGGGAGGAAAGGUCACCCAGAUCCAGUCUGCAUCCAGAUCAGAUGGUCACUGCAGCCACCCAGAUCCAGUCCGUAUCCAGUCCAGACAGUGGAUCAGGACCUAGAGAUGACCUCUACAGCCCUGAAUGUCCGCGGAGACUACAUCAACUAGAGGAGCCCUAGAAACAGAUCCCCGUCGGCACAAGACCACGGAAACCUGAUGAGUCCUGAUGAGACUUUGCUGCAGCCUGGAAUCAAACUGCUGGUUUGUGUUGCCAGAAGAGAACUGGCCCCCUGACUGAGCCUGGUUUUUCCCAAGGUUUUUUUUUCCUCAAUUUCUGUCACCAGUGUAGUUUUGGUUCCUUGCCGCUGUCGUCUCUGGCUUGCUUAGUUGGGGACAUUUAAGUUCCAGUGAUAUCGUCAACUUGAUUGCACAGAUACUAUCUGAACUGAACUGAGCUGGAUGACAACACUGAAUUCAAUGAUGAACUGCCUUUAACUGAUAAUUGAGUGUUGCUGUAUUGCUCGAAAUAUUCUUAAAUGUUCUUAACAUUUAUUUAUUUAUUUUCCUGAUUCAUGAAGCAUUGGUUAGCAUUGUUAAUGAACAUCUAUUAAAAUUACAAUGCUGAUUUACA